GACGAACGCUGGCGGCGUGCCUAAUACAUGCCAGUAGAACGCACAGUUUAUACCGUAGCUUGCUACACCAUAGACUGUGAGUUGCGAACGGGUGAGUAACGCGUAGGUAACCUGCCUGGUAGCGGGGGAUAACUAUUGGAAACGAUAGCUAAUACCGCAUAAUAUUAAUUAUUGCAUGAUAAUUAAUUGAAAGGUGCAAUUGCACCACUACCAGAUGGACCUGCGUUGUAUUAGCUAGUAGGUGAGGUAACGGCUCACCUAGGCGACGAUACAUAGCCGACCUGAGAGGGUGAUCGGCCACACUGGGACUGAGACACGGCCCAGACUCCUACGGGAGGCAGCAGUAGGGAAUCUUCGGCAAUGGACGAAAGUCUGACCGAGCAACGCCGCGUGAGUGAAGAAGGUUUUCGGAUCGUAAAGCUCUGUUGUAAGAGAAGAACGGGUGUGAGAGUGGAAAGUUCACACUGUGACGGUAUCUUACCAGAAAGGGACGGCUAACUACGUGC
RNAcentral lists this ribosomal RNA (506 nucleotides) under uncultured bacterium. RNAcentral describes it as "partial 16S ribosomal RNA". It matches the Rfam family "Bacterial small subunit ribosomal RNA", at positions 28 to 508 of the family's 1533-position model. The record is from RNAcentral.